Molecule: non-coding RNA, 87 nt
Filed under: Pseudomonas tolaasii NCPPB 2192
Lineage: Bacteria; Pseudomonadati; Pseudomonadota; Gammaproteobacteria; Pseudomonadales; Pseudomonadaceae
Source: RNAcentral
CUUGGGAGCUGGCUUGCCUGCGAUGCUGCUGACUCGGUGUGUCAGGUACAUCGCAGUGAUGCCAUCGCAGGCAAGCCAGCUCCCACA